GGAAAAGGAACAAAAAGCAGCUCAAGGGAGGAAGAAGAGAGAGAAGUAUGGUCGACUACUGGGGCCCGGUAGUGCAGGCAGUGGGCGUGCGGCACAGUGACACAGCUCAGACUCGUGACUCAGAUGCUUUUUCUGAGUUAAGCUCUACAUUGUUUGCUUCAUGAACAGAGUCUUUCUUGAGGAUCUGCAGCUAGCUACUUGACAUAAAAGUCACAUCCAGAACACAAUAAAAAAAAAUGCUGGAUAAUUA
Molecule: non-coding RNA, 250 nt
Organism: Labrus bergylta (ballan wrasse)
Lineage: Eukaryota; Metazoa; Chordata; Actinopteri; Labriformes; Labridae
Source: RefSeq, a predicted model, not a curated record